Long non-coding RNA from Pseudopipra pipra, 355 nucleotides. RefSeq lists it as uncharacterized. The record is from RefSeq and is a predicted model, not a curated record. Lineage: Eukaryota; Metazoa; Chordata; Aves; Passeriformes; Pipridae. The transcript has 2 exons.
CCGCCUGGCCGGGCCCCGGCGGCGUCUGGGUCUGGCUGGGGAGGGUGAAGUCGGUGAACUCGAACUCGGAGCCCUGAGUGUCGGCGCCGAGCAGCUCGGCCUCCUCGGUGUCCAGGAAGGUUCAGCUGUGGCUGCAUAAAGUGUUCCCAAAACAAGGCAUGGAGAUGUCACUUGGAGCAGUGAAGGAAAGGGAGGAGAAGAUUUUGACAUUUCUCCAGUGGUCUGGAAUGGAAAAGGUCCUUGGAAAUUAAGGUGAUGAGGGACAUUAAAAGAUAACAUCAAUAUGUGAAAGCCAGGAAAUGGAACUCGCUGUUUCACUAAGCACCAAAAAGCCAAUAAACUUCUUAAAACGUAA